RNAcentral lists this non-coding RNA (28 nucleotides) under Homo sapiens (human). Lineage: Eukaryota; Metazoa; Chordata; Mammalia; Primates; Hominidae. The record is from RNAcentral.
GAAGCAGUGUCUCCAUGGAGUCUAUUCC